UACGUAGGGGGCAAGCGUUGUCCGGAUUUAUUGGGCGUAAAGAGCGUGUAGGCGGCCAAAUAGGUCUGCUGUGAAAACUCGAGGCUCAACCUCGAGAUGUCGGCGGAAACCAUUUGGCUAGAGUCCGGAAGAGGAAAGUGGAAUUCCUGGUGUAGCGGUGAAAUGCGCAGAUAUCAGGAAGAACACCCGUGGCGAAGGCGGCUUUCUGGUACGUGACUGACGCUGAGACGCGAAAGCGUGGGGAGCGAACAGG
RNAcentral lists this ribosomal RNA (253 nucleotides) under uncultured bacterium. RNAcentral's name for it is "partial 16S ribosomal RNA". It matches the Rfam family "Bacterial small subunit ribosomal RNA", at positions 524 to 776 of the family's 1533-position model. The record is from RNAcentral.